UGAAAAUGAAACAAUUUGACUACUUCUACAAGUUAGGAACUACAAAGAAUUUGAAGAUGUUCCAGUGAAGAGCCAGUGAGAUGUUAUCUACUGUGGACCUGUUGCUCUAGUAGCCAAACUGAAGUGGAUCCAAGUCACUUCUCAGCCCUGACGAAGGGUUCCGGCCCGAAACAUCAACUCAUCGUUUCUAACUGAUGUUGUCCGACCUGCUGAGUUCAUCCAGCAUACUGAAAGUAUUGCUUUGAUCACAGCAUCUGCA
Molecule: long non-coding RNA, 259 nt
Organism: Mobula hypostoma (lesser devil ray)
Lineage: Eukaryota; Metazoa; Chordata; Chondrichthyes; Myliobatiformes; Myliobatidae
Exons: 3
Source: RefSeq, a predicted model, not a curated record